CCCUUAGAUGUUCUGGGCCGCACGCGUGCUACACUGAUGCAUUCAACGAGUCUAAAACCUGGUCUGAUAGGGCUGGGUAAUCUUUUGAAAGUGCAUCGUGAUUGGGAUAGAUGAUUGCAAUUCUUCAUCUUCAACGAGGAAUGCCUAGUAAACGCAAGUCAUCAGCUUGCAUUGAUUACGUCCCUGCCCUUUGUACACACCGCCCGUCGCUCCUACCGAUUGAAUGAUCCGAUGAAUACCAUGGAUUGAGAGUACGAAUAGGUUCGCUUAUUUCUGCUGCUCGAGAAGUGGAGUAAAUCUUAUCAUUUAGAGGAAGUAAAAGUCGUAACA
RNAcentral lists this ribosomal RNA (330 nucleotides) under uncultured eukaryote. RNAcentral's name for it is "partial 18S ribosomal RNA". It matches the Rfam family "Eukaryotic small subunit ribosomal RNA", at positions 1470 to 1796 of the family's 1831-position model. The record is from RNAcentral.